RNAcentral lists this ribosomal RNA (486 nucleotides) under Triticum aestivum (bread wheat). RNAcentral's name for it is "partial small subunit ribosomal RNA". The record is from RNAcentral. Lineage: Eukaryota; Viridiplantae; Streptophyta; Magnoliopsida; Poales; Poaceae.
AUGCAAGGUAAACCGGUCGCUCUGAGCCGGGGUGCCACACUUCGUCGAGGAGUUAUUCUUACCGAAGAUAAUCUUCUUAAGAGGAAUUGCCAUGGAAGUAUGCAAUGUAUGUUGUGUCAUCACGACGAGAUGAUAAAACACUUAUUUUUUCAAUGCAAAUUUGCUCGUUCUAUAUGAUGAGUCAUCCAAGUAGCUUCUUGCUUGUAUCCUCCAUGUAGUGUUGCUAAUAUAUUCGGCAGCUGGUUACAUGAGGUAGAAUAUCGGUUAAAAAUUCUUCUCGGGAUGGGAGCGCUUGUCGUUAUUCGGUCGCUUUGGCUAUGUAGGAAUGAUAAGGCUUUUAACAAUAAAAAUGCUUCUAUUAUGCAGGUUAUCUACAGAUGUACGUGGACGCUCCGUUAUGGUCGUCUCUACAGCGUGUGGAGUAUCAAUACUUGUUUACGGAGGUAUACACGUUUAGAGGCCACGACGAGGGAUAUUUUUACCUGA